UCGUACUCACUAUAUUCCAUUCUCCACACAUUUAACCAGAUACUCUGUUACAUUAUAUAUUUAUUUAUAUAUAUAAAUAUAUAUCGUACUUGUAAUUUUCUUUGAUACGAUACGAUACGAAAGCUAUACUACAUACUUACACUUAAGUAGUAACAACACGUGAGUGACUGACCUAAGAGAUUUUCAAAAAUGGAUUCCCAGUCAUAACAUUGCAGUCAAAAAUAUCUCUAUACAUACUUUGACAACCUUCAAAUUAGUCCACUCUUCACUCUUGAGUUUAAUAGCCAUUUCGCGAUUCAUAUAAAAAUAUAAGAAAUAUUACUAUUUAGAUGUUGUAUCCCGAGUAUGUCGAUAGACUAAUCAGUAAGAUUGGUGUUGAUCUACGCUGCCAUAGGCUACAUUCCUACUAGUACAAGCGGAGUCAAAACAUUGUUGUGAGCUUCGAUGCAUCAGCUGAGUAACAAACGGAGGCGGAUAGUAGCGUAUCCCUAUGUAUCUAUUUACAUGGUUCGGUGUUAUGUACAUAAUUUAUAGGGAUCAUGGAUAAUUGAAGUAUAACAAUUUAAACUUAUUCAAAGCUCACAAUUUAUUUUGCAAGCUUUAGAUAGACCUUCUAUACUUCACUAUCCAUAUUACGGCAAUAAAUAAAUAUAUUGUUAAAUUGAAAAAUUAUUUAUGAUCUGAAACUGACUUGCUCGAAAAAAUAUAUACCCCGGUAAAAUAGUAUAGGUGCGGAUUAUAUUUUUAGUAUUGUCGUAUGUAUGCUAUUUUUCCGGCAUAUAUUCCCGGAUAUAUAUUUUUUCGUAUGGGGACAAUACAACAAUUUAUCGACACUAUUUUUCAACCAUUUAAAUAAAAAAUUUUAAGCCCACUAGUCCUAUACUUUGAAACAGGCAAAAAGAGAUUAUACUUUCGAAAUAAUAUUCUGUAAUCAGAAAAAAUAAAACAAAUAA
This is a long non-coding RNA of Microplitis mediator, 953 nucleotides long. RefSeq lists it as uncharacterized. The record is from RefSeq and is a predicted model, not a curated record. The transcript is spliced from 4 exons. Lineage: Eukaryota; Metazoa; Arthropoda; Insecta; Hymenoptera; Braconidae.